CUUGACAUCCAGCGAACUUUCCAGAGAUGGAUUGGUGCCUUCGGGAACGCUGAGACAGGUGCUGCAUGGCUGUCGUCAGCUCGUGUUGUGAAAUGUUGGGUUAAGUCCCGNAACGAGCGCAACCCUUAUCCUUUGUUGCCAGCGAUUCGGUCGGGAACUCAAAGGAGACUGCCGGUGAUAAACCGGAGGAAGGUGGGGAUGACGUCAAGUCAUCAUGGCCCUUACGAGUAGGGCUACACACGUGCUACAAUGGCGCAUACAAAGAGAAGCGACCUCGCGAGAGCAAGCGGACCUCAUAAAGUGCGUCGUAGUCCGGAUCGGAGUCUGCAACUCGACUCCGUGAAGUCGGAAUCGCUAGUAAUCGUGGAUCAGAAUGCCACGGUGAAUACGUUCCCGGGCCUUGUACACACCGCCCGUCACACCAUGGGAGUGGGUUGCAAAAGAAGUAGGUAGCUUAACCCUCGGGAGGGCGCUUACCACUUUGUGAUUCAUGACUGGGGUGAAGUCGUAACAAGGUAGGCGUAGCGAG
This 529-nucleotide ribosomal RNA is filed under the name uncultured bacterium. RNAcentral describes it as "bacterial SSU rRNA". It matches the Rfam family "Bacterial small subunit ribosomal RNA", at positions 980 to 1509 of the family's 1533-position model. The record is from RNAcentral.